GACGAACGCUGGCGGCGUGCUUAACACAUGCAAGUCGAACGGAAGGGCCCUGCUUUUGUGGGGUGCUCGAGUGGCGAACGGGUGAGUAACACGUGAGUAACCUGCCCUUGACUUUGGGAUAACUUCAGGAAACUGGGGCUAAUACCGGAUAGGAGCUCCUGCUGCAUGGUGGGGUUGGAAAGUUUCGGCGGUUGGGGAUGGACUCGCGGCUUAUCAGCUUGUUGGUGGGGUAGUGGCUUACCAAGGCUUUGACGGGUAGCCGGCCUGAGAGGGUGACCGGCCACAUUGGGACUGAGAUACGGCCCAGACUCCUACGGGAGGCAGCAGUGGGGAAUAUUGCACAAUGGGCGGAAGCCUGAUGCAGCAACGCCGCGUGCGGGAUGACGGCCUUCGGGUUGUAAACCGCUUUCGCCUGUGACGAAGCGUGAGUGACGGUAAUGGGUAAAGAAGCACCGGCUAACUACGUG
Molecule: ribosomal RNA, 467 nt
Filed under: uncultured bacterium
Lineage: Bacteria
Description: partial 16S ribosomal RNA
Rfam family: Bacterial small subunit ribosomal RNA
Source: RNAcentral